UGAGCAAUCUGCCCCUCUCUUUGGAAUAAGCGUUGGAAACGACGUCUAAUGCCGAAUACGACCUCCUUUCGCAUGAUCGGAGGUGGAAAGCUCCGGCGGAGAAGGAUGAGCUCGCGGCCUAUCAGCUAGUUGGUGUGGGUAAUGGCCCACCAAGGCGACGACGGGUAGCCGGCCUGAGAGGGUGACCGGCCACACUGGGACUGAGACACGGCCCAGACUCCUACGGGAGGNAGCG
This 235-nucleotide ribosomal RNA is filed under the name uncultured bacterium. Its description in RNAcentral is "partial 16S ribosomal RNA". It matches the Rfam family "Bacterial small subunit ribosomal RNA", at positions 118 to 353 of the family's 1533-position model. The record is from RNAcentral.